GGGGGCGAAAUGGGUUCGACAGUAUUGAUGAGGUUAAAGCUGCGGAUUGAGUUGAGUUCCUCAUUAAACGGCUCAAAAAAAGAAACGCAAACGAGUUACCUCUCGCAGCAUAAAAAAUAUGCUGCCGUUCUCAUGUCCCUUUCCUGCGGGGAUAUGAGGGCGUCAUUCAGCAGGAUAUGACCGGUAGAAGGUGCCCUCUGGUCUGCCGGGAUGAAAAUUUAAAGAGGGUCGGUCGCAGUUAUUUUUGUUUGUUUUUUACCUGCGGUUGUAUGAAAAACAAACUACGUCUGUAGAUGCUUUAGCUGAAUCCUUAUUGGACGCGGGUUCGAUUCCCGCCGCCUCCAA
RNAcentral lists this transfer-messenger RNA (345 nucleotides) under Candidatus Aminicenantota bacterium. RNAcentral describes it as "Candidatus Aminicenantes bacterium transfer-messenger RNA". It matches the Rfam family "transfer-messenger RNA". Rfam says of the family: Bacterial tmRNA, also known as 10Sa RNA or SsrA, is named for its dual tRNA and mRNA-like properties. Its role is to liberate the mRNA from a stalled ribosome. The record is from RNAcentral. Lineage: Bacteria; Candidatus Aminicenantota.